This 514-nucleotide ribosomal RNA is filed under the name bacterium PH-EB013. Its description in RNAcentral is "bacterial SSU rRNA". It matches the Rfam family "Bacterial small subunit ribosomal RNA", at positions 989 to 1504 of the family's 1533-position model. The record is from RNAcentral.
GUCUGAAGCCUAGAGAUAGGGCUUCUCCUUCGGGAGCAGAGUGACAGGUGGUGCAUGGUUGUCGUCAGCUCGUGUCGUGAGAUGUUGGGUUAAGUCCCGCAACGAGCGCAACCCUUGAUCUUAGUUGCCAUCAUUAAGUUGGGCACUCUAAGGUGACUGCCGGUGACAAACCGGAGGAAGGUGGGGAUGACGUCAAAUCAUCAUGCCCCUUAUGACCUGGGCUACACACGUGCUACAAUGGACGGUACAAAGAGCUGCAAGACCGCGAGGUGGAGCUAAUCUCAUAAAACCGUUCUCAGUUCGGAUUGUAGGCUGCAACUCGCCUACAUGAAGCUGGAAUCGCUAGUAAUCGCGGAUCAGCAUGCCGCGGUGAAUACGUUCCCGGGCCUUGUACACACCGCCCGUCACACCACGAGAGUUUGUAACACCCGAAGUCGGUGGGGUAACCUUUUUGGAGCCAGCCGCCUAAGGUGGGACAGAUGAUUGGGGUGAAGUCGUAACAGGGUUAGCCAUA